Molecule: ribosomal RNA, 496 nt
Filed under: uncultured bacterium
Lineage: Bacteria
Description: bacterial SSU rRNA
Rfam family: Bacterial small subunit ribosomal RNA
Source: RNAcentral
GACUACGAGUUUGAUCAUGGCUCAGNUUGAACGCUGGCGGCAGGCUUAACACAUGCAAGUCGAGCGGAGACUUCGGUCUUAGCGGCGAACGGGUGAGUAAUACCUAGGAAUCUGCCUAUUAGUGGGGGAUAACGAAUCGAAAGGUUCGCUAAUACCGCAUACGUCCUACGGGAGAAAGGGGGGGAUCUUCGGACCUCUCGCUAAUAGAUGAGCCUAGGCCGGAUUAGCUAGUUGGUAGGGUAAAGGCCUACCAAGGCGACGAUCUGUAGCUGGUCUGAGAGGAUGGCCAGCCACACUGGAACUGAGACACGGUCCAGACUCCUACGGGAGGCAGCAGUGGGGAAUAUUGGACAAUGGGGCAACCCUGAUCCAGCCAUGCCGCGUGCGGGACGAAGGCCUUCGGGUUGUAAACCGCUUUCAGCCGGAAAGAAAUCGCCAAGGCUAAUAUCCUUGGUGGAUGACGGUACCGGAAGAAGAAGCACCGGCUAACUACGUG